GUCGUACGAGAUUAUGGGGCUUGCUCCUUAUGAAAGUGGCGCACGGGUGCGUAACGCGUAUGCAACCUACCUUAAUCAGGGGGAUAGCCCGAAGAAAUUCGGAUUAAGACCGCAUAAAAACACAGGAUAGCAUUAUCCAAUGUUCAAAUAUUUAUAGGAUUAAGAUGGGCAUGCGUGUCAUUAGCUAGUUGGCGGGGUAACGGCCCACCAAGGCGACGAUGACUAGGGGAUCUGAGAGGAUGACCCCCCACACUGGUACUGAGACACGGACCAGACUCCUACGGGAGGCAGCAGUAAGGAAUAUUGGUCAAUGGAGGGAACUCUGAACCAGCCAUGCCGCGUGCAGGAAGACAGCCCUCUGGGUCGUAAACUGCUUUUAUUCGGGAAUAAACCUACUUACGUGUAAGUAGCUGAAUGUACCGAAGGAAUAAGGAUCGGCUAACUCCGUGCCAGCAGCCGCGGUAAUACGGAGGAUCCAAGCGUUAUCCGGAUUUAUUGGGUUUAAAGGGUGCGUAGGCGGCUUAUUAAGUCAGGGGUGAAAGACGGUGGCUCAACCAUCGCAGUGCCCUUGAUACUGAUGAGCUUGAAUACACUAGAGGUAGGCGGAAUGUGACAAGUAGCGGUGAAAUGCAUAGAUAUGUCACAGAACACCGAUUGCGAAGGCAGCUUACUAUGGUGUUAUUGACGCUGAGGCACGAAAGCGUGGGGAUCAAACAGGAUUAGAUACCCUGGUAGUCCACGCCCUAAACGAUGAAUACUCGCUGUUAGCGAUAUACAGUUAGCGGCUAAGCGAAAGCGUUAAGUAUUCCACCUGGGGAGUACGCCCGCAAGGGUGAAACUCAAAGGAAUUGACGGGGGCCCGCACAAGCGGAGGAGCAUGUGGUUUAAUUCGAUGAUACGCGAGGAACCUUACCCGGGCUUGAAAGUUAGUGAAUGAUCUAGAGAUAGAUCAGUGAGCAAUCACACGAAACUAGGUGCUGCAUGGCUGUCGUCAGCUCGUGCCGUGAGGUGUUGGGUUAAGUCCCGCAACGAGCGCAACCCCUAUGUUUAGUUGCCAGCACGUUAAGGUGGGGACUCUAAACAGACUGCCUGUGCAAACAGAGAGGAAGGAGGGGACGACGUCAAGUCAUCAUGGCCCUUACGUCCGGGGCUACACACGUGCUACAAUGGAUGGUACAGAGGGCAGCAAGCUGGCAACAGCAAGCAAAUCUCAAAAAGCCAUUCACAGUUCGGAUAGAGGUCUGCAACUCGACCUCUUGAAGUUGGAUUCGCUAGUAAUCGCGUAUCAGCAAUGACGCGGUGAAUACGUUCCCGGG
Molecule: ribosomal RNA, 1316 nt
Filed under: uncultured bacterium
Lineage: Bacteria
Description: bacterial SSU rRNA
Rfam family: Bacterial small subunit ribosomal RNA
Source: RNAcentral